RNAcentral lists this long non-coding RNA (423 nucleotides) under Heterocephalus glaber (naked mole-rat). RNAcentral's name for it is "lncRNA (ENSHGLG00100035867.1)". The record is from RNAcentral. Lineage: Eukaryota; Metazoa; Chordata; Mammalia; Rodentia; Bathyergidae.
CGCGUUCGGGAUGCCGGGGGCGGGUGGGUGGCUAAGACACCAGCCCCCCACCCCACCCCCUUACACUGCCGUCUGCCCCCUUGGCUUGACCGCCGCGAUCUUGCUAUCGCCUACCUAGCUCUCCUCCUGGCCAACCCCAGGCUAUCUGGAGAGAUGGGAAAAGUGUGGCGAUGCGGAAAAAGUCGGUUUUUCCUCGAGCGGGCGAGGUGCUGUCCCCUCACGCUGUCCACCUGCAGCGCCAGGAAGAAGCUGAGUUCCUAUGAGGCUGUCCACUCAAAGACUUCCACAUCCAAAUUCAUGUCAUAUCAAGCACUGAUGCUAUUUUUUCUGCAUUGCCUUCAGGAAACCAUAAAGUAACCUCACAAGUAAAUGUGGACUGCUCAGCUGCCCAAAGUAUGGGGAAUGGGAAUCUGAAGGACCAGG